RNAcentral lists this ribosomal RNA (460 nucleotides) under uncultured bacterium. RNAcentral describes it as "partial 16S ribosomal RNA". It matches the Rfam family "Bacterial small subunit ribosomal RNA", at positions 338 to 795 of the family's 1533-position model. The record is from RNAcentral.
CCUACGGGAGGCAGCAGUGAGGAAUAUUGGUCAAUGGACGAGAGUCUGAACCAGCCAAGUAGCGUGCAGGAUGACGGCCCUCUGGGUUGUAAACUUCUUUUAUAUGGGAAUAAAAUGGUGCUCGUGAGGGACUUUGUAUGUGUCAUAUGAGUAAAGAUCGGCGAACUCCGCGCCCGCAGCCGCGGUAAUACGGAGGAUCCGAGCGUUAUCCGGAUUUAUUGGGUUUAAAGGGAGCGUAGGUGGGCUGUUAAGUCAGUUGUGAAAGUUUGCGGCUCAACCGUAGAAUUGCAGUUGAAACUGGCGGUCUUGAGUACAGUAGAGGAUGGCGGAAUUCGUGGUGUAGCGGUGAAAUGCUUAGAUAUCACGAAGAACUCCGAUUGCGAAGGCAGGUGACCGGAGUGCAACUGACACUGAGGCUCGAAAGUGCGGGUAUCAAACAGGAUUAGAUACCCUUGUAGUC